RNAcentral lists this ribosomal RNA (477 nucleotides) under Candidatus Scalindua brodae. Its description in RNAcentral is "bacterial SSU rRNA". It matches the Rfam family "Bacterial small subunit ribosomal RNA", at positions 365 to 832 of the family's 1533-position model. Lineage: Bacteria; Pseudomonadati; Planctomycetota; Candidatus Brocadiia; Candidatus Brocadiales; Candidatus Scalinduaceae. The record is from RNAcentral. RNAcentral also lists the same sequence under 1 other name.
UUCGCAAUGCCCGAAAGGGUGACGAAGCGACGCCGCGUGGGUGAGGAAGGCCUUCGGGUUGUAAAGCCCUGUCAGGAGUUAAGAAAUGUAAGUGUGCUAAUAUCGCAUUUACUUGACGAAGGCUCCAAAGGAAGUCACGGCUAACUCUGUGCCAGCAGCCGCGGUAAUACAGAGGUGGCAAGCGUUGUUUGGAAUUAUUGGGCGUAAAGAGCACGUAGGUGGGUUUGUAAGUCAGAUGUGAAAGCCUCCUGUUCAACGGGAGAAUUGCAUCUGAAACUACUGAUCUUGAGUAUAGGGGGGGAGAAUGGAACUUCUGGUGGAGCGGUGAAAUGCGUAGAUAUCAGAAGGAACGCCGGCGGCGAAAGCGAUUCUCUGGCCUAUUACUGACACUCAGUGUGCGAAAGCUAGGGGAGCAAACGGGAUUAGAUACCCCGGUAGUCCUAGCCGUAAACGAUGGGCACUAAGUAGAGGGGUUUU